AGUGAUUCACCCAGAUGAUGUCACUUAAAGGUGAGUGAAGAUGCUUUCUUACUGGAGAAGACAGAUAUCACUGACUGCUGGCAGGAGGUGGCUCAGGUGCUGGAGUUCAAACAAUCUGUGCGUAGCCCAGAGACAGACUGCUUCCCAGAGAAGACAUUUGUCUUUGUUCUCUUACUUGUUGUGGCCUGUCCCAACAGGAACUCACAUGGGUUGAGAAAAAAAAUUUUUCCUUCCUGACAGUUUUUGGCAAUGCAGAUGGGACUUUCUGGGAUACCCCAUCCACUCUGGAACCUGCAGAUGAAAUCCUAGCAAAACUGGCAGAAGCUGGUAAAAGAAAGAUUCAUGGAAAGCACUCUGACAAAUACAGGCUUCUGAUAACUUCAAGAUCAUACCAUUUGGCCAGAAAUGCCUCUUAUUAGAUCACCAUAUAGAGGCCUAACUUUGAUGAGAGCUCACCUGCAAUAUCUCCUGAAAUGAGACACAACUGCUUAAUUGAAUUGACCUAUUCUCAGCACUAAGACAAUGAUUUGAUAUGGGGCAAUGUACUUAAAUUUGUUCAGCUGCACUUGUUCCAAUCUAUGUUUUCCUCUUCCUUUGCCAAUCCCUGAUCUCACAAUCUCUAAUCCAAAUCUCUUCAAAGCUACCAACUUGGAGAGUUCUAAGCCACCAUUUUGAGUUACUUUGUGUUGUGGUUUCUCCUGCAUUGUGUGCUGCACGUAUUAAUAAACUUGUUUUUCUCUUAUUAAUC
RNAcentral lists this long non-coding RNA (748 nucleotides) under Homo sapiens (human). Its description in RNAcentral is "HSALNT0109301". Lineage: Eukaryota; Metazoa; Chordata; Mammalia; Primates; Hominidae. The record is from RNAcentral.